GGGAUUACAAACUUGCUGGAAAUGGAUGAGAAACCUUCUGCUCUGCUGGAGUUUAUCUUGAGUGUGCCUUAAAAUUCCAUUUCAUGGAGAACUGUGCGUGGUUGAAUUUUGAUUGAUUACUCAAUUAACUGAUGUAUUGGUAGAGUGAUUAAGAAAGAAGACUUUGGGAUCAGACCAACCUGGUUUUGAAUUCAAGCUCAGCAACUUACUAGGUAAGGAGGAGAAAAGAAAGAAGGAAAAAUUGGAAAGAUAAAUGGGGUCUUUCCAGUGAAGCUGCAGUUAUGGCAUUAACCACCCAGUUGUUACCUACUUCUAGAUGAAAGCUCAAUUUUCCUACAUAAUUAAGAGUUUGGAAUUCGGGCAAUAUCAAGAACCACAUCUGUCCUGAAAUCAAUUAUCUCUGUUUGAUACAGAAUCUGAGGAGGGUGGCUCUGUUAUUCUGAUGGAAUGAAUGCUCAGUGAGAUCAAAAUCAAGUCAUUGAGGAUGCCAGGAGAGUCUGGGGCAUCCUCAGGUACCCUGCAGGGUUUGUGGGGAGGCUGCUGGACUUACAGAUUGUUGUGGAUUUCAUCCUGGAUGGUUUACUGAGCUCUUUGGGGUUCCUGAGGUGAAAAUUACAGCAAUUUUAAGAGUCUGACACACUUUCCAGCUGAUAGCACUAAAAACAUGACUUGUAGCCUCCUCUCUUUUUCCUGUUUGCUUCUCUGAAUGAAGAUGGCAGAACUAAUCUGUAUGAACUAUUAUCUGUUAUGUGAAUUUUUAUGAAUUAAACUAAUUUAUCUUUAAAAAUCCAUUUUUUUCUCUAUGAGCAACUUAUGCAAUGGAAUGGACCUACUAUAUUUGUCAAAGUUAUUAGAGUCCCGGGUUUUUAAUUACUAGUUUGAACCCCACAGCUCUUCUGGUAAAAUGUGGACUGCAUACUGAAGGGAAAACAAAAUAACAGAUUAUGCAAUAUACAAAUAGAAUUACCAGUGACUUAUUCUCCUUUAAGUCAACAUUUAAUGCAAUGGUUUUUGCUCUGGAUCUCAUAUCCCUUUUAUUUUGUAUUUUUUUUGGGUAAGGUGGUUCCGAUGUUAUCAACCAAUAAAAUAAAUUCUACUUCA
This 1101-nucleotide long non-coding RNA is filed under the name Homo sapiens (human). Its description in RNAcentral is "novel transcript". Lineage: Eukaryota; Metazoa; Chordata; Mammalia; Primates; Hominidae. The record is from RNAcentral.